Molecule: ribosomal RNA, 468 nt
Filed under: uncultured bacterium
Lineage: Bacteria
Description: partial 16S ribosomal RNA
Rfam family: Bacterial small subunit ribosomal RNA
Source: RNAcentral
GACGAACGCUGGCGGCGUGCUUAACACAUGCAAGUCGAACGGAAAGGCCCUGCUUUUGUGGGGUGCUCGAGUGGCGAACGGGUGAGUAACACGUGAGUAACCUGCCCUUGACUUUGGGAUAACUUCAGGAAACUGGGGCUAAUACCGGAUAGGAGCUCCUGCUGCAUGGUGGGGGUUGGAAAGUUUCGGCGGUUGGGGAUGGACUCGCGGCUUAUCAGCUUGUUGGUGGGGUAGUGGCUUACCAAGGCUUUGACGGGUAGCCGGCCUGCGAGGGUGACCGGCCACAUUGGGACUGAGAUACGGCCCAGACUCCUACGGGAGGCAGCAGUGGCGAAUAUGGCACAAUGAUCGGAAGCCUGAUGCAGCAACGUCGCGUUCGGGAUGACGGCCUUCGGGUUGUAAACCGCAUUCGCCUGUGACGAAGCGUGAGUGACGGUAAUGGGUAAAGAAGCACCGGCUAACUACGUG